This 253-nucleotide ribosomal RNA is filed under the name uncultured bacterium. RNAcentral describes it as "partial 16S ribosomal RNA". It matches the Rfam family "Bacterial small subunit ribosomal RNA", at positions 524 to 776 of the family's 1533-position model. The record is from RNAcentral.
UACAGAGGCCCCAAGCGUUACUGAGAAUCACUGGGUUUAAAGGGUGCGUAGGUGGCGCGUAAGUCCGUUGUGAAAUCCCUGGGCUCAACCCAGGAAUUGCUUCGGAUACUGGCGUGCUUGAGGCCGGUAGGGGUCACUGGAACUGACGGUGGAGCGGUGAAAUGCGUAGAUAUCGUCAGGAACGCCGAUGGUGAAGACAGGUGACUGGGCCGGAACUGACACUGAGGCACGGAAAGCGUGGGGAGCGAACGGG